UUGCUUCAGCAGCACAAAUACUAAAGUUGGAACAUUACAAAGAAGAUUUGCAAAGCUCCUGUUCAAGAAUGAUAUGCAAAUUCAUGAAGCAUUGCAUAUUUUA
This is a small nuclear RNA of Suncus etruscus (white-toothed pygmy shrew), 103 nucleotides long. NCBI's taxonomy places the organism in Eukaryota, Metazoa, Chordata, Mammalia, Eulipotyphla, Soricidae. The record is from RefSeq and is a predicted model, not a curated record.